This 470-nucleotide ribosomal RNA is filed under the name uncultured bacterium. RNAcentral's name for it is "bacterial SSU rRNA". It matches the Rfam family "Bacterial small subunit ribosomal RNA", at positions 335 to 797 of the family's 1533-position model. The record is from RNAcentral.
ACUCCUACGGGAGGCAGCAGUGGGGAAUAUUGCACAAUGGGCGCAAGCCUGAUGCAGCCAUGCCGCGUGUGUGAAGAAGGCCUUCGGGUUGUAAAGCACUUUCAGUCGUGAGGAAGGCGGGUACGUUAAUAGCGUAUUCGUUUGACGUUAGCGACAGAAGAAGCACCGGCUAACUCCGUGCCAGCAGCCGCGGUAAUACGGAGGGUGCGAGCGUUAAUCGGAAUUACUGGGCGUAAAGCGCAUGCAGGUGGUUUGUUAAGUCAGAUGUGAAAGCCCGGGGCUCAACCUCGGAAUAGCAUUUGAAACUGGCAGACUAGAGUACUGUAGAGGGGGGUAGAAUUUCAGGUGUAGCGGUGAAAUGCGUAGAGAUCUGAAGGAAUACCGGUGGCGAAGGCGGCCCCCUGGACAGAUACUGACACUCAGAUGCGAAAGCGUGGGGAGCAAACAGGAUUAGAUACCCUGGUAGGAUA